Long non-coding RNA from Rosa chinensis, 388 nucleotides. RefSeq lists it as uncharacterized. The transcript is spliced from 4 exons. NCBI's taxonomy places the organism in Eukaryota, Viridiplantae, Streptophyta, Magnoliopsida, Rosales, Rosaceae. The record is from RefSeq and is a predicted model, not a curated record.
GUUUCUUGGAAACAAUAAGUUCUAUGGCGCUCUCUCUGAAUCGAAAAGCUCAUCUCUUCUCAAUGUAGAUUUAUCAUACAAUAAUCUAGUUGGGAGCAUUCCUUCUUGGGUCAACGGAACGAGUUUACAGCUUAAUUUAGUUGCCAACAACUUCACCCUUGACAGUUCAAACAGCAGGAAGCUGUCAAGGGACAAUUAUGGAGAUUACGUGAUCCCCAGGGGAAGCCACCAGGUGUAAUGCAGUAGUACAGCUAGCUAGUUCGUAUAUUUAACUUGUGUCUAGUAGAAAUUCUUCCUUCAUUAAGUAUUUGGACUUGUCUGCAGAUUCAAAUUAGUAGAUAUGGGCCAUUUUGAACUGAUGCUCAUGAUUAGGUUUGUGUACAUGAGA